Molecule: ribosomal RNA, 645 nt
Filed under: uncultured Bacteroides sp.
Lineage: Bacteria; Pseudomonadati; Bacteroidota; Bacteroidia; Bacteroidales; Bacteroidaceae
Description: bacterial SSU rRNA
Rfam family: Bacterial small subunit ribosomal RNA
Source: RNAcentral
AGCUUGCUUCAAUUGCCGGCGACCGGCGCACGGGUGAGUAACGCGUAUCCCACUUUCCGCUUACUCGGGGAUAGCCUUUCGAAAGAAAGAUUAAUACCCGAUGGUAUCCUAAGCACGCAUGAGAUUAAGAUUAAAGAUUUAUCGGUAAGCGAUGGGGAUGCGUUCCAUUAGGCAGUUGGCGGGGUAACGGCCCACCAAACCUACGAUGGAUAGGGGUUCUGAGAGGAAGGUCCCCCACAUUGGAACUGAGACACGGUCCAAACUCCUACGGGAGGCAGCAGUGAGGAAUAUUGGCCAAUGGGCGAGAGCCUGAACCAGCCAAGUAGCGUGAAGGAUGACGGCCCUACGGGUUGUAAACUUCUUUUGUGCGGGAAUAAAGGAACCUACGUGUAGGUUUUUGCAUGUACCGUAACGAAUAAGCAUCGGCUAACUCCGUGCCAGCAGCCGCGGUAAUACGGAGGAUGCGAGCGUUAUCCGGAUUUAUUGGGUUUAAAGGGAGCGUAGACGGGUUUUUAAGUCAGCUGUGAAAGUUUGGGGCUCAACCUUAAAAUUGCAGUUGAAACUGGAGACCUUGAGUACGGUUGAGGCAGGCGGAAUUCGUGGUGUAGCGGUGAAAUGCUUAGAUAUCACGAAGAACUCCGAUUG